AUUCUCCAUAAUGACGAAGGCAAAGAAGGAUAAGUCGGUGGUUUGCAUAGUGAAGAGAUAAUGAGUUUCAUUUUUAACAAGUUGAGUUUGAAGUUCAGACAAAAAUUUCAGGAACUGAUGUAAAAGAGACUCUUGUUACUUCCUGUGGAACCCGUGGAUUGGAAGGUUAUCUAGGCUGCUGCAGAACUCUUCCACCCUGUGCACAGAGAAGUACAUAAAGUGGGAUCUUUCUCAGUGGAGCAGUAUAUAAAACAGAUGCAGACUGAAGGAUGUUAGAAGCACAAAGAAGGUCAUGUGCACGACAUUCAGCUGAGUACAAAAUUCAACAUCUGGAAGAGUAGAGACAGGGUUUCACCAUGUCACCAUGUUGGCCAGGAUGGUCUCGAUCUCCUGACCUCGUGAUCC
This 405-nucleotide long non-coding RNA is filed under the name Homo sapiens (human). RNAcentral describes it as "non-protein coding SGO1-AS1:10". The record is from RNAcentral. Lineage: Eukaryota; Metazoa; Chordata; Mammalia; Primates; Hominidae.